ACUGUUGAUCCUCCUCUCGCUGUCCGGGGCAUGGCGGAGUCAGGUGGGCUGAAGUCGCACGGGGGGCGGAGCGCGAGCAGGAGGCCUUCGGCCCCCCCAGUCCUCUGUAGGACAGCACCCCCUUGCUAGAGAUUAGCAGCUGUUUGCCGAAGGUCGCUCCAGCCCUGGCUCUUUGAAGCAGUUUAAACAGUUGGUGCAAGCACACCGGGAGCCCCGGCCCGUGCGCUGCUAUCGGAGCUGCCACUCCCUGAUUUGGACCUGCAGAACCUUGCCCGCUUUAUCUCGCUCCACCGGCUGACUGUGGCGCCAGUUUCGGGGUUAGGGCUCUGAGCUGGGACCCGGACUUUGCAAGAGGCCAACUGCCCUCUGGCCCCAGGUCCCAUUCAGUUGCUGGUGCUCAAACACCUCUGCCCCAGGGAGAUGGAUGAGUCCACGCUGCAAACUCGUGCUCGCUUACUCGAAGGCCCUCCACUUCUCCCACGUGCCCUGGGCUCGGGGCCCAAGCGGUCACUCAGUAUCACUUCAUCCACCCAGAGCCCAGCAAGCGGGCACAGCUCUAACAGAAUCACCGAAGUGGAUUCUAAGACUCUCAGGGUUCCUUUACACGUACUUACUCUAUUUGGGAAUUUUGAGCUCAAUCCAGAGUUUUCCAGGAAGUGUCAUCAAAGAAGGCUUCCGAGGGCAACAGGAUUGGAUACUGGUGACGCUUUGGCCCCUUCAUCUACCCAGCUGAUCCACCAAGUGUCAAGGCCUGAGGGAUGAAUCCGCUGAUUCACACUCUUCCCAGGCUUCAAGGCUUCUUCCUCUUACUGUUGGAGCUGGAAAGAUCCUCGGACCCCUUUGGAAUUGCAAUCGAAAUGUUCUAUGGUCCAGUAGGCUGAGUAUUACGUCUGCAAACAGCCUGGUCUAUGCAAGUUUCCUGCCUUCCAGGCCUUCACAGGGAGACUUUGCAGGAAAAAAAAAAAAAGGAAAAAAAGGAAAAGAAAAAAAGGGGGAAAAAACAAAGAGGAAAGAAAGGAAGAAAUGAGGCAGACAAGAUGGCUCAGAGAAGUCCUGCAAAUUGUCUUCUGACCUCUGACCUCUACAUUUUUUCUGUAGGACUUAUGUUGCACAUGCACACACACACACACACACACACACACACACACAUAAUACAUUUUUUUAUAUUAAAAAAAAAAGGAACAAAUUGCCCUGGCCCUUGGACCUUCCAUGCCUGCCAUCUCAAGCCCUAGAGGAUUCUAGCCCUAGGCACAAGGAGAUUGCUGCCAGGUAACAGAAGCCUGCCUGUUUGGACUGUCAACUCCACAGACCUGUGACAGAUUACAUAAAUCACUGCCAACUACUGAGUAUUAGGUGGUUUGUUUCGUAACAGUAGGGUGAUCUGAUGAGCAUAUGUUGAGUCUCAGAGGCAGUGUGCCUCCUGGGUGCCUUGUUUAUUAACUGCCACUGAGAACACGCACAGGGACCGCUCUUAGUGAUUACUUUAAAUAAAACCUCCAGACCCUCAGAAAAGAACUUACUUUUCUAAGACUGAGGAAAGUAUUUUUCCCAUAAUAUAUAUCUGUUGCUACCAACAGAGCAAAUGACCUCAUCACUCCAGGCCUUACUUUCUGUCCAAUAGAUGCUGGUAAGAUACUCUCAUUAAACACACAGAGCACAGACACCAUCUGCUUAGGACUAGAUGGUGAUGCAAAUGCAUACCCAGAUAUUGACCCUGCCUGACCUCAUUUACUCAGGUUACGUAAGAUGCUUUGUGAAAGGCUACUAAGGAAAUUUGAACUCGAGGAGCCGCCUGCCCAGUAGAUAAACUGAACUCCAGCACAUCAGGGUGCAGGAUAAUUGGUGUGUUAACUUCCAAACACGCCCAUAACCUUGAGUCUUGGACUUAAGACACCUCACUGUGCAAACUAUACGCACAAAGCACUGGAAUUCUACAAAGCCAAUUCCAACCAGUGUAGUUUCCUGUUCCUCGCUGAAACAGAGCCCUGCAGUGGGAGUGGUGCUGUGAGGAAACAAAGAGAGCAGAAGUGUGAAAGCCGUCUUAGAACUUCACCUGGGGACCUCCACAAAAAUAGACACGGACUGAACGCAGACAGAAUGGAUAUCUUCCAAAAUGGCCACUGAUUUGGCCUGUCUGCUGGAGACUGAUGAUUUUACUCUUCUUGGUUUUGUCUGUCUGUAGUUUCCUGAGUAAAUUACUUUCAUAAGAAAUAUAUAUAUAUAUAUAUAUAUGGGGCUGGAGAGAUGGCUCAGCAGUUAAGAGCACCGACUACUCUUCCAGAGUUCAAUUCUUAGCAAUCACAUGGUGGCUCACAAUCAUCUGUAACAGGAUCCAAUGCCCUCUUCUGAUGUGUCUGAAGACAGCUACAGUGUACUCAUCAUGUAUAUAAAAUAAAUAAAUAAAAUCUUAGAAAGAAAGAAAGAAAGUAUGUAUGUGGGGGUGGGUAGGAUACAGAGGCGAGGAGGGUAGUGUUUCCUUUUGUCCUAAGCCACUGGGCCUAUUUUAUUUUCAAACUGGAUUUUAUUAAUGUAUAUUUUAUUACCUUUAUUUUAUUUUAUUUUAUUUUAUUUUUGCAAGUCAGGGUUUCUCUGUGUAGCUCUAGCUGUCUUGGAACUCAUUCUUUAGACCAAGCUGUCCUAGAACUCAGAAAUCUGCUUGCCUCAGCCUCCAGAGCUCAGGGAUUAAAGGUGUACACCACUACUGCCUGGCUUCUUUUCUUUCCUUUUCCUUUCUUUUCAAACUGGAUUUUUAAUCACAGACUUUGCAAGUAUAUUCACUCUGUAUUUACUCAUGCAGAGCCCAGUGACUGGAUUAUAUCUUGAGUUGUGGUUAUAAUGAGAGCCUGGAAGAGCCUUUCUUCUCUCAACAGACUCUGAAUUUGCAAAGAUUUUUACAGCAGAGUAGAAAUUCCCAAACAUGGAGGUUUAUGAGCAGAGACGAAGGACUGAAUCUUCAGAGUAAGGUGCAAAACAUUCCAUGUAUAACACUGCUGUAUGGGGAAAAUUAGCAAGAUGUAUAGGCCCGAAUUUAUGUCUGCCUUGCUGCUCCACACAGAAAUUAAUAAUGGAGGAGAAGACCAAAUACUCUUCAUUUUUAUAGGUAUUUUUACAUUUUAAAAUUAAUUAAGUAAGUAAUUAAUUAAUGUGUGCAUGCAUGCAUGUGUGUGCAUGCCAUGGUGCAUAUGUGGAGAUCAGAGGACAACUUGUGGGAAUGGCUUCUUUCCUUCUACCCUUUCUACAGGGUUCUGAAUCAUAAGGUAUUGACAGUGGCAGCCUUAUUGGAUGAGCUAUCUUGCUGGCCUUCAUUUUUGUCUUCUUCUAUGUCCAGAGUUUUGUGGAAAAAAAUUUUAGAACAAAGUAAUUAAACGGCUUCCACUUUGGACAAGCAGAUGUUGGGAUGCAGUGAGAGAGCGAGCAACGUGUCCCUGUGAACUGGCUGUGCAGAGAGGACGCAGAGUGGGGAGGGGAUGCAUUUAUGUCUGCUGAGAGAGCUGUCUUCUGUCAUCCCCCACCCCCGUGGAUGGACUUUGACUUUUGCCCUUUGAAUGAUUUUAAAAUUAAAAGAAAUCUUAGACAUC
This is a long non-coding RNA of Mus musculus (house mouse), 3578 nucleotides long. RefSeq annotates it as RIKEN cDNA E030042O20 gene. The transcript is spliced from 2 exons. NCBI's taxonomy places the organism in Eukaryota, Metazoa, Chordata, Mammalia, Rodentia, Muridae. The record is from RefSeq and is marked validated.